Molecule: long non-coding RNA, 438 nt
Organism: Gasterosteus aculeatus aculeatus (three-spined stickleback)
Lineage: Eukaryota; Metazoa; Chordata; Actinopteri; Perciformes; Gasterosteidae
Source: Ensembl
GAGAGAGGGCUAGCGCAAAUUGUGUCACCGGCAACUCGCUGAGGCACUUCCUGUUGCAGGUUGCGGUGCCGCGGCGAAUCGUGGCAGCUGCCUCGAGUUUACGGCAACUGCCUCGCCUGUUGCCUCGGCUGAGUGAGGUACCUCGAGCGGUACCACGAAUUCAGGGGCCGGUUCAUCGGUCGAGAGAGGUACCUCUAGCGGUACCUCGAGUUACGGGAGUCUUGCCACGACCUAACGGAGGCAUGCAACGACCAAAGGGAGCGGUGCAUCGGCUGAUAGAGGUACCGGGAGUUUAAGGGAGAGGUGCCACGGCUGUUAAGGGAGCUGUGCCUCGGCUGAUAGACGUACCGGGAGUUUAAGGGAGAGGUGCCACGGCUGUUAACGUACCGGGAGUUUAAGGGAGGGGUGCCACGGCUGUUUCCAUUAAUUUUAGUAUUC